UUAUCUUUUUCUUUUACUGAAUUCAUGAUACAAAAAAAAAAUUUAAGUAAAGCACGUGCAGCAGAAUUUAUUAUUAUUAUUAUUUAUUUAUUUUUAAUUCUGCACCCACUAAUUGAAAUUACAAAAGAGAAAAAAAAGGAAAGGAAGACAAAAUAACCUAUGUUAGCAAACCUAAAUACCCAACAUCGUAAAAAAGAAAACAACCGUCGCGAUUGCAGAGUUGUAAAUGGCAGGGUCGUAAAUGGAAGCA
RNAcentral lists this long non-coding RNA (250 nucleotides) under Lathyrus oleraceus (garden pea). Its description in RNAcentral is "Pisum sativum (pea) long non-coding RNA (PSAT_LNC018732)". Lineage: Eukaryota; Viridiplantae; Streptophyta; Magnoliopsida; Fabales; Fabaceae. The record is from RNAcentral.